AAACCAACAGGGAUUGCCUUAGUAACGGCGAGUGAAGCGGCAAAAGCUCAAAUUUGAAAUCUAGUACUUUCAGUGCUCGAGUUGUAAUUUGUAGAAGGUAUCUUUGGAGUUGGCCCUUGUCUAUGUUCCUUGGAACAGGACGUCACAGAGGGUGAGAAUCCCGUGCGAUGGGGUGUCCAAUUCUUUGUAAAGUUCCUUCGAAGAGUCGAGUUGUUUGGGAAUGCAGCUCUAAGUGGGUGGUAAAUUCCAUCUAAAGCUAAAUAUUGGCGAGAGACCGAUAGCGAACAAGUACAGUGAUGGAAAGAUGAAAAGAACUUUGAAAAGAGAGUGAAAAAGUACGUGAAAUUGUUGAAAGGGAAGGGCUUUUGAUCAGACUUGGUGUUUAGUACUCUCUACUCCUUGUGGGUGGGGCUCUUGCUUUAUACUGGGCCAGCAUCGGUUUGGAUGGCAGGAUAAUGGCGCAGGAACGUAGCUUCAUUCGUGGAGUAUUAUAGCCUGUGUUGAUGCUGCCUAUCUAGACCGAGGACUGCGUCUUUGACUAGGAUGCUGGCGUAAUGAUUAAAAGCCGC
Molecule: ribosomal RNA, 569 nt
Filed under: Nakazawaea peltata
Lineage: Eukaryota; Fungi; Ascomycota; Pichiomycetes; Alaninales; Pachysolenaceae
Description: eukaryotic LSU rRNA
Rfam family: Eukaryotic large subunit ribosomal RNA
Source: RNAcentral